RNAcentral lists this ribosomal RNA (253 nucleotides) under uncultured bacterium. Its description in RNAcentral is "partial 16S ribosomal RNA". It matches the Rfam family "Bacterial small subunit ribosomal RNA", at positions 524 to 776 of the family's 1533-position model. The record is from RNAcentral.
UACGUAGGUGGCGAGCGUUGUCCGGAUUUACUGGGCGUAAAGAGCGCGCAGGCGGUCGUGCAAGUCGCGUGUGAAAGCCCCCGGCUCAACUGGGGAACUGCACGGGAAACUGGAAGGCUUGAGUUCGGGAGAGGGAAGCGGAAUUCCGGGUGUAGCGGUGAAAUGCGUAGAUAUCCGGAGGAACACCGGUGGCGAAGGCGGCUUCCUGGACCGACACUGACGCUGAGGCGCGAAAGCUAGGGGAGCAAACGGG